Pelobates cultripes (western spadefoot toad) is the source of this 326-nucleotide non-coding RNA. NCBI's taxonomy places the organism in Eukaryota, Metazoa, Chordata, Amphibia, Anura, Pelobatidae. The record is from the annotation of a GenBank genome assembly.
CUGGGCUACAAAAUUAAUAAAAGGAAUGGAACAUAUCAGCUAUGAAGAAAGGUUAACAAAUUUAAACCUAUUUAGUUUAGAAAAACGUCGCCUGAGAGGGGAUAUGAUAACAUUAUACAAAUAUAUUCAGGGCCAAUACAAACCAUUGUGUGGAAAUCUAUUCACAAACCGGACUUUACAUAGGACAUGAGGCCAUGCGUUUAGACUGGAAGAAAGAAGAUUUCGUCUAAGGCAAAGGAAAGUUUUUUUUACUGUAAGAACAAUCAAGAAGUGGAAUUCUCUGCCUGAAGAAGUGGUUUUAUCAGAGUCCAUACAGAUGUUCAAAC